AUGGAGCAAUUGGAGAAGAGGAUGGAUGCUGCUGAACAACAAAUCAAAGAGCCGCGUGAAGAUCUUAAUAGGAUAUUUGACCAGUUGGUUGAGAUGAUAAGAAAGGGUGUCCCCCUGCUACCAAUGAAGGAGUUUCAUCUAAAGAAGAGGAAGAUGUUCAUCAAAGAAGAAGGAGAGGUAAUCUUGGAUCAAGACCGCCACAACAACAUGUUGUUCAACGUGCUUCAAGAAGGCCAAUUUAUGUUGAAGCUUCUGAAGGUGAAGAAUAUGAUGAUGCCCUUAAAAAACCAAAUCUCUACGCAUAUCGGAGAGCACCCAACCCAACCCUACAUAUGCAAGAGAUACAUACAAGGUGAAAGCCGAGAUCCCAAGUUUUAA
This 378-nucleotide ribosomal RNA is filed under the name Triticum aestivum (bread wheat). RNAcentral describes it as "partial small subunit ribosomal RNA". Lineage: Eukaryota; Viridiplantae; Streptophyta; Magnoliopsida; Poales; Poaceae. The record is from RNAcentral.